This 258-nucleotide ribosomal RNA is filed under the name Triticum aestivum (bread wheat). Its description in RNAcentral is "partial small subunit ribosomal RNA". The record is from RNAcentral. Lineage: Eukaryota; Viridiplantae; Streptophyta; Magnoliopsida; Poales; Poaceae.
GACGGUGAGCGAAAGGUACAUUGGAUCUCCUAGCAGAAAAUGUGCACUUCCAAGCAGGAUGGAUGUAUCGGGUUCCGUGAUCCGGUGGCAUUCAACCAGGCCCUACUGGCAAAACAAGCCUGGCGAGUGCUGCAAUGCCCGGAGGCUUUGGUGGCGAGAGUGCUCAAGGUGCGUUACUUCAAAGACGAUUCCAUCCUGAGUGCGACGUGCCCUUUGACAUCCUCAUACACUUACAUGAGUAUUCUGCACGGGAGAGAC